RNAcentral lists this transfer RNA (76 nucleotides) under Pseudolabrys sp. RNAcentral's name for it is "tRNA-OTHER". Lineage: Bacteria; Pseudomonadati; Pseudomonadota; Alphaproteobacteria; Hyphomicrobiales; Xanthobacteraceae. The record is from RNAcentral.
GGCCCGGUGGCGGAGCGCGUACGCAGAGAACCCCGCAAGGUUUUCCAGCCUGGUUCAAUUCCAGGCCGGGCCUCCA